This 73-nucleotide transfer RNA is filed under the name Ceratotherium simum simum (southern white rhinoceros). RNAcentral describes it as "tRNA-Val (AAC) (tRNA-Val-AAC-6-1)". It matches the Rfam family "tRNA". From Rfam's summary of the family: Transfer RNA (tRNA) molecules are approximately 80 nucleotides in length. The record is from RNAcentral. Lineage: Eukaryota; Metazoa; Chordata; Mammalia; Perissodactyla; Rhinocerotidae.
GUUUCUGUAGUGUAGUGGUCAUCACGCUUGCCUAACACGCAAGAGGUCCUUGGUUCGAAACCAAGCAGAGACA